This is an RNA transcript of Musa acuminata subsp. malaccensis (wild Malaysian banana), 1561 nucleotides long. It is a transcript of the gene named trihelix transcription factor ASR3, with no coding region annotated. The record is from RefSeq and is a predicted model, not a curated record. Lineage: Eukaryota; Viridiplantae; Streptophyta; Magnoliopsida; Zingiberales; Musaceae.
UACUCUCACCACGCACUCCACCCUCUUUAGCCGGUCAUAAGAGGCGGCGGGGACGACAGGCCAACGCGCGGGAGAUCCCGGUGACCAAGUUGGUGAUCUUCCCCUCCUCUGCCUACUCUUCUUCCGCUUCUCUCCCCGUCGCCGGUAUUUGGGAUCCGUCGAAUCGGUUGGGAUCGGCCGAUUCCUUUUUUACUGGCGGAGAAGAUAGCCGAUCCCGACCCGCACACAGGAAAGCAUCGUCAAAUCCAUUCUAUCUCGAGAUCGUAGCAUCUUCUUGAAGCAUCUUCGUCUACGCCGGCAAAUGGAGCACCCCGGCACUAUCCGGGCUCCACCGGCCACCCCUAGGAAGAACAAGGAGGACCAGCGCGCGAAGAGGAGCGCAGCCACUAGUAGCCCUCCAGCGCCGGCGAGCUCCUCUCGGUGCACUCGCUCGCAGGCCGCCCCCGACUGGACCACCUACGAAUCGCUGGUGCUCGUGGGCGAGAUCGCCGCCAUGGACGAGGACUGGCUCAAGGCUCUCUCCUCCUACCAGAAGUGGAAGAUGAUCUCCGACAACUGCGUUGCCCUGGAAGUCGUUCGAUCCUCUAACCAGUGCAAGCGGCGGUGGGAGUCGCUGCUCGCCGGGUACCGGAGGAUCAGGGAGUGGGAAGCCAGUCACGGGGAGGGCUCCUACUGGGUUUUGGAUGGCGAUAGAAGGCAGCAGCUGGGGCUCCCGACUUGGUUCGACCGGGAGGUCUUUAGCUCCAUGGGCGCGGUUCUUAAGCUGCAGGAGGACUGGGCGGGGCGGGGCGAGGCCGAUCCAGAAUAUGUUGUUGAUGCAGCCGGUGCUUCGGAGGACCUGCUUCUGUCGGCGGAGGCGGAAAUGCUGGAUGUCAAUAAUGCUCAGGGUUCUAAGGAGAACUCAGAGGAUGAGGUUCAGAAGGAUAGAGAAAAGACACGAGACAUGGCAAGUAAGCUGCAGGAGAGUGCUCAGCAAAUUCAUGCCAUACUAAGAGAAGAACUGGAAGAUAAUCUUGGUCUGGAUACUUCUCCAGUGGAUUUGUCAAAGCCCAAUGCUGCAGGGAUAGAGUUUACUAGGCGCCAAGCUGAUCGGCUGAUCAAAGCUUUUGGGGGGCUUGCUGACACUCUGAAUCAAUUCACUGAGCUGAUCAGAUCUUCUGAUUGUGAAAGCAUCAAAGCCAUUGACUCAAUGGCAUUAUGAGACAAUUUUCUCAUAAAGUUUUGCUGCAGCAGGCAAGGCGCCAGCGCAGACUCGCUCUUAUGGUUUUCUUGCUCUCUUAUUAAGAGUGCAGUAUCCAUUCAAAAAUGAACUCCUCAUCAAGUUCACUUUUGUCAUGAGGAUCUACUGGAAGUCUGAUACUAUACUGCAAUGGGAUUUAUCAGCUUAUCGAAGGUGACUUACAGUUAUAUGAAUCUCUUCGACACUUCAGUUUAUCAUUAGAAAAAUGACAUGAAUUUAUGUACUUCAAAAAUCUUAUCCUCAUUUGUUAACUCAUCCAACUCUUUGAAGCUGAUGUCUAAAAUCAUUUACAGAAUAUGGAGACUCUUCUAUACUGUCAAA